This 460-nucleotide ribosomal RNA is filed under the name uncultured bacterium. Its description in RNAcentral is "partial 16S ribosomal RNA". It matches the Rfam family "Bacterial small subunit ribosomal RNA", at positions 338 to 795 of the family's 1533-position model. The record is from RNAcentral.
CCUACGGGUGGCAGCAGUGAGGAAUAUUGGUCAAUGGGCGAGAGCCUGAACCAGCCAAGUCGCGUGCAGGAUGAAGGCUCUAUGGUUUGUAAACUUCUUUUAUAUGGGAAUAAAGUGAGGAACGUGUUUCUUUUUGUAUGUACCAUAUGAAUAAGCAUCGGCUAACUCCGUGCCAGCAGCCGCGGUAAUACGGAGGAUGCGAGCGUUAUCCGGAUUUAUUGGGUUUAAAGGGUGCGUAGGUGGUUAGUUAAGUCAGCGGUGAAAGUUUGUGGCUCAACCAUAAAAUUGCCGUUGAUACUGGUUGACUUGAGUAUAUUUGAGGUAGGCGGAAUGCGUGGUGUAGCGGUGAAAUGCAUAGAGAUCAUGCAGAACACCGAUUGCGAAGGCAGCUUACUAAACUAUAACUGACACUGAAGCACGAAAGCGUGGGGAGCAAACAGGAUUAGAUACCCGUGUAGUC